This is a long non-coding RNA of Taeniopygia guttata (zebra finch), 6376 nucleotides long. The record is from Ensembl. NCBI's taxonomy places the organism in Eukaryota, Metazoa, Chordata, Aves, Passeriformes, Estrildidae.
UUUUUUUUCUGAAAUAAUACUGCCCCUUAAAAUAGAAACACGUGUUCUGCCGUGGGUGAGAAGGACCUGGAAUUUGGCAGUACUCAAGAGAAAAAAUGUGAAAUGGGCAAGCCAUUCCUUGGCAGACUGGACAUUGCUGGAAACAGUAUAACAAGCUUCAAAAGAGCCCCCUAUAAGCAAAACUUCAAAUUCUGAAUUGAGGAUUAAUGCUAUUUAUUACCAGUACAGUUUAUGGAUGUGUGUCAGGAAAUGCCAGGCUAGUGUUCGUAAGUUCAAGUUCGUGCACUGACAGUUUCUCUCUCUCCCCACUAUGCCUUCCUCUUGCACUCGGAUUUCUUGUCAUGCUUUCUGAGGAUGAAAAAUGCAUUAAUAAUGAAGGAAAGUGGAAUGCAGUCAGGAAAGCACUUUAUUCCUAAUUCCCAUGAUCUGGUAGUGUGCCUGUUCCCUUAGGAAUGAAAGGCAGUCUUCCAGUUUGGGCUUAAUAAGGGUAAUUGUGGAUAUUUUUGCUGUUGGUACAAAUUACUAAUUAAAUCAUUAUUAACAUUUGCCAUGUCUCCAUCAUACAAAAUAUGGGUAAGUUUUAACCAUGUCAUUACACACUACUAAAAAUGAAUGUGGCUCAGAGCUAAGAGGACAGCAAAUUUCUACAAGCUGAACUCCCCCCAGUGUGGCUUGGUUCUUGGCUAAAUUUAUUUCAUCUUAAAUAACUCAUGAAGGAUGACAUUUAAGUGACAAUCUGUUGAUAGCUAAUCACAAGCCUACAGUGUAUCAUUUCAAUGGAAUGUCUUGAUGUGCAAGUUAAGGUUAGUGUAACAAUUUGCUGGUUUAUGGUCUUGUUGAGGGAAACGAAGCAUAUGCAAGGCUUAGCUGUUCUCUCUUCCCUCUGUCUGGCAAGGUCUGAAAGCACAUGCCUAGGUAUAGAUGCAGUGUUCCCAGUUCUCACAUUGGUUAAUGUGUUACCAGCACAUAGUCCCGGGCCAAGGAAUGAUUUCAGAAUAUCAGUUUGCAUUUAAAACAUAAAUUCAAGCUUGGUUUCCAGAUUUUGUGACUGAGAGAUAAUGGAUGGUUAAUCCUAGCUCCAAGGCAAGAAUGACACUGAAGAUGAAGAUGUUACAGUGUAGCCACUCAUGUUUCUGAGAGACUGUUUAUGCAUAUGAAAGCUUGUCUUAAGUCGGUGGUCCUCCACCUCCACAGGUGUCCUUGCAGUUGUUUGUCACACCUUGCUGGAUCAGCAUGCUGGGGAAGGAUAGGGAACUAAUGCUCAGCAAGGAUCAAGGAGAGGAAAUGGGAGACACUGAUACAAAGGUCUCAUUUUACUGUUGACAAAUUGUAGCCUAAUUAGGAUUUACUUCUGCUUUUGCACAUAAUUUAAUUCCAGUGCCUAUAAGGAGUUUUUGAGGAAACAAAACCAAGGUUUUCAUGGUGGUGCGUGGCAAGGGCAUGUGAAAAAACAGGUGUAGCUUGAAAGAGGAGAUGCUCUGACUGGAUAUAAAGAAACAUCAUGAGGCAAAUUGAGCAUGGGAAAGCAUUGCCCAGUGAGGUUGUACAGUCUGUGUCAUUGGAAGUUUUAAAGAACCUGACUGUUUAGAGCCCUGAGGACAGGAGCCCUCCAGAGGCGCCUUUCCACUUGGAUUACCUCAUAAACCAGUAGAUGUAAUCUUUUUGGAUUUCAGCAAAGCUUUUGAAACUGUCUCUCACAGUAUCCUUCUGGACAAAAUGUCCAGCACACAGCUGGAUAACAGUGUGAUGCAAUGGGUGAGUAACUGGCUCAUGGGUCGGGCACAAAGCGUUAUAGGGAAUGGGGUGACAUUAGACUGGCGUCCUGUCCCCAGGGGAGUUCCCCAGGACUCCAUCCUUGUCCUGAGGUGACUUUAUAAUGCUAGUAUCCCCAGACAUCUGUUCUGUUUAUGCUGGAUAUUAAAUUCUACACCUUUAAGACUGUUCUGAGAGCGAAGGGGAGAUAGAAAACCCAGAAACUGUUUUCAGAAACUGCACUUGCUCCCCUGCAUUCUCUCUCCUGGACUUUGUUUUCUGCAGCACAGACAGUGAGAGAGAGCUCUCCUUUGCUUUUAGGUAGUUUUUUUUAGCCAGCUGAGGCAGGGAAGUUCCCUGGACUGUGAUUUUUCUUUUUCUUGGAACUGGUCAGCCCUGCUCUAGACUGAAAACAAAAUUUUCUCCCAAAUUUGCCCUAAACCAGGACCAUCCUCCACUCACUUCUCUUCAACAUCCGCAUUAACCACUUGGACACAGGACCCAAAGUUUGCCAAUGACACUAAAUUGGGAGAAGCUGUAGACUCCUUCAAAGGCAGAGCAGCCCUGCAGAGAGACCUUGACAAAUAAUUAGAGUUGGGAAAUCACCAAUUAAAUGAAGUUCAGCAAGGGAAAGUGCAGGAUUUGGCACCUGGGACAGGACAAUCCUGGUUGUGUGUAUGGAUCAGGUAAAAAGAGGCCUGAGAGAUGCACUGUGGAAAGGGAACUGGGGGUCCUGGUUGAUGGCAAGUUGAACAUGAGCCAGCAGUGCCCUGGCAGCCAGGAGAGUCAACCGUGUCCUGGGUACAUGAGGCACAGCAUCACCAGCUGGGCAAGAGAGGGGAUUGUCCUGCUCUGCUCUGCACUGAGGUGGCCUCACCUCCAGUGCUAGGGACAAUUUUGGGUGCCACAACACAAAAAAGAUAUUAAGCUAUUAGAAAGCAUCCAAAGGAGGGCCACGAGGAUGGUAAGUCACACAAUCAUGGAAUAUGCAGAUUUGGAAGGGACCCAUCAGGAUCAGUGAGUGGGGUGGCCUUAUGAGAUUACUUGAUCUGUUUGGCCUGGAGAAGAAGAGACUGAGGGGAGACCUCACUGUGGUCUUCAGCAGCCUCACAAUGGGAAGAGGAGGGGCAGGCACUGAUCUCUUCACUCUCAUGACCAGCGACAGGACUUGAGGAGAUGGCAUGAAGCAGAGUCAGGGAGGUUUGGGUUGGAUACCAGGUAAAGGUUCUUCACCCAGAGGGUGACUGUACAUUGGAACAGCUCCCCACAGAAGUGGCCACAGCACUAAGCCAGACAGAGUUCAAGAAGCAUUUGGACAGCACUCUCAGGCACAUGGUAUGAUUUUUGGGGUGUCCUGUGCAGGGCCAGGAGUUGGACACAAUGAUCCUGAUGGGUCUCUUCCAACACAGCAUAUUCUAUAAUUCUGUGAUUCUAUGGUGUUUUGAUGCUGUGAACCUAAAUGACAGCAAGGGCAGACAUCAGCAGUGUUGAAAAGUAACUGUCAUGCACUAAACAUUAAACACUGUAUUUUAAUCAAGACAGAUUUAAGUAGUUAAUCUGUGUUUUCAAAGAAACAUUAAAAAAUGUGGGAUUCCAAUUUAUUCUCUGGGGCAGGAACACCUUUACUGAUGGGAGAAGAGAACAGAAGGAAACUCUGAACUGCUUUAGUAUCUGUGUAAUUAAAUUUUUGGCAUCACCUCUGUGAUCACCCUCUGUCCUACUGAGAUGUUUUUGAAAAUAAAAAAAGUACAGGGUCACUUUUGUAAUAGGAUGUAGGUCCUUCAGAUGAAAUGAAAUUCAUUGUCUUGAGCCCCAAUGCUUUCCACUGCCAACUCUCUUCAACAUGGCACAUGUGCCCCAGUCUUGGGAACCUAACAGUCUGUCUCAAACUGUCCUUAAUAUUAUGAAAUUAAUCUUCCAUUUUCUUCUAUUCUUGCUUCUGUUUUCACCUCACCAUGAAGUGAUUUGUUGCAACAUACUUUACUUUUGUUUACUGCCCAGCUACUGGCCUAUAAUAAAGCAAGAAGACAAGGGUGUGUAAAUACCAAGAGUGUACUGUCAUUAAAAAAAGAGAGAUUGUAUUGGAUUUCACUUUCUAGACCAGAGACAGUAAACCACUACUUCUAAGUGAUGGAGCCAUGACAUUUUCUACUUGAAGGACAAGACAGAGAAGAAUUAGGUCCUCAGCUUUUGCUCUUGUCUCUGACUCCUGGUUAAGGUCAUGUAAUUAAAAUGAUGCUAUGAUGACAUAUAUACUUUUUUGUUUCGCAGAGGAUUAUGGCUUCAAAAAUUUACUUCAAAGGUGAUGUGGAUGUCCUGAGUGCUCUAUAAUCUUCAAAAAACACUGUUGUCUUGUUUGAGCUGUCACUACAGUAUUUGACAUGGAAACAGAAAAGAAAAAGAAAAAUGUGUAUUUUGGAGAAUGUGAAGAGAUUUGAAUCAGUUUAGAAGGAUAAUGUUUCUUUAACUGGAUAAUCGAUAUGAGACUUUCCUACCAAGUAUGAAAGGUUCCAUAUCAGUCACCUCUAGGCCAGUCUAAAAAAUAUUGCAAAUUAUUUAGGCAGUCAUUAAAUAUGACCUUUGUUCUUGGCAGCAGCACAAGGAAAGCAAGAAACAAUUAAGCAAGUGACUGUGGAAAGCACUACUGACUGAUUUCAACACUGAGUUUGUUUUCUGCUGUGAGAUGUUUUUUGCCUCUUGUAGUUUCAUUUUCCCAUGUUGGAACAAAGACAAAGAUAUCAUUUUAGUGCCUACAAAUCUAGUUACGUUGAUUAGCAUUAUACAUUUAGAACUGGCAACAGUUAUUUUCAUGCAGAGUGUAGCAUCCAGCAUUACUGUUUACAUUUUUAUGUUUCUAGGUUAUGAAUUUUUUAGUAAUUCUCUGAAAUUUGCAAAGUAAGCUAUAGUGUAUUGCUGAGUUCUAGAAAAAAAAAAAAAAAAAGUACUGGGCCAAAUGCUCCUUCAAGGCAUAAGAAAUUAUUAAGAAAAAUCUUUUGGUCCUUUGCACUUUCAUCUCACUGAGCUGAACCAAAACAAUUCCUCAAAGAAUGGCAUUGGACAUCUACCCUGACCACUGACAGGUGCUAAAGAGACUUUCCAAAAUGCCUAAGUAUUGAGCUACCAAGCUCCUCUUGAUUCUCAUGAAAUUAGGCAGCUCAGCACUUGGAAAUAUCCCACUAGGUUAACAUUUCUAAGAUGUUUCAGGAAGAUUCAGAAUCUUUUAACACAAGGACCCAAAUUUUAUUUUUAGACAUCUACUGAAAAAAAUUGUCUGCUUUUCUCUUACACUAAAUGCCUGCAGUAGGAUCCAAUACAGAAAAACCAACCUAGGGGAUCCUAUGAUCGAUUCUAAGAGAAUACACAUGGGAAACCUCUUUAAAACAAGUAUAUAACAGGCUAGUUUACCUUAAAUAUCUUACUUCUCAUCUCAGUUUUUGUGAAUGAGAUAAAAUAUUUUUGACAGAAGAAUUAUAAAUUUGAAUAGGUUAUGAGUCUACAGAUCUGUUUCAGCAGAUCUUCACUGGGAUAUUACCCUUGGAGGAUGAUAGCACUAUCAGCCCUGACGAAAGGAGAGAAAACAAAAAUUUACAGUCAUCAGAAACUCCAGGAAUUCAAGUACUGAAGUAACAACAUAUUCUUUCUGUGCAAAUGGUAAAAACUGGACAGCAAGGAGUAGGUUCCUCUAUAAAGUCAACCAAAAAUAGAGGUGUUUUGCAUAUAAUCACUUCUAUUUCAUCCUUUACAUUGUUUACAUAUCACAAGAAUUCCCGUUAACUAAUUUACAUGCACCAUUUCUAAUUAAAAUAUCUUGUGAAUUUAACAAAAAAGUCAAACUUACUCUUGCAUGGUGGGAGAACAGGCUGAGGAGAGGAUGGAUCUGAUGGAUGAGAGCAACAUAUCUGUUAUCAGACACUGUGCUUUAUAACAGAGGUUAAAAGAAUUGGAAUUAUCUUGUCACUCAAGGAGAAGAAUUAGAGAGGGAAUGUCAUGCCUCUUGAAAUGUGUAAGUCAUUGGAAAAGUGGAAUGAAGUACUAUUUAUCAGAAUAUUUCCUACGGAGAGGAUGAGGGUUUCAAAUGCAACAACGGAGACUUAAGUUACAUGUUAGGAGAAAAAGAGUUUAACUGUAAAGGCUGGGAGACAGGAGGAGGAGGCCAGAAAGUGGUCUUAAUAACAUCUGCUGCACGUGGAAAAGGUCUGGCUGGCUCUGCCACAAGGCAAAAGGAUGAACUAGAUGAGCUCCUGGAGUCAUUUCCAGCCCUCAUUGCUGUGAUUCUGAGAUUUAUCAUAUUAGAAAGCUUUUCUAUAGUUAUAUUGUCCACCAGCAGUAAUAUCCCUAUCAAAACCACGUUAUUCAUGGGACGCAUGAGCACAUGAGAACAGAAGUUUUCCGAGGACUGAAACACUGCAUCCAUCAUUUUAUAUCAUUUCUUAAUUGUAAAACAGUGGUGUGGUCUAGCUCAAGAAAUUUGGGAGUUAUCAAGAACCCUAUUAUCAGGAACCAUCUGUUUUAUUUCAAUGUUUAAAAGGUUAGAGGCUAGAUGUCCAGCAGUAGUUUCAUUUCUUCAUUUCUAUAGCCUAAACAGUCACUGAGAUGCUUGUUUAUGCAAAAAAAAAAAAAAAAA